This 312-nucleotide ribosomal RNA is filed under the name uncultured Pseudomonadota bacterium. Its description in RNAcentral is "bacterial SSU rRNA". It matches the Rfam family "Bacterial small subunit ribosomal RNA", at positions 30 to 351 of the family's 1533-position model. The record is from RNAcentral. Lineage: Bacteria; Pseudomonadati; Pseudomonadota.
AUUGAACGCUGGCGGCAUGCCUAACACAUGCAAGUCGAACGCGAAAGGGUUUCGGCCUGAGUAGAGUGGCGGACGGGUGAGUAAUGCGUGGGAAUCUGCCUUGCAGUGGGGGACAACCCGGGGAAACUCGGGCUAAUACCGCAUACGACCUACGGGGGAAAGGGGGCUUCGGCUCUCGCUGCAAGAUGAGCCCACGUCCGAUUAGCUAGUUGGUAGGGUAAAGGCCUACCAAGGCGACGAUCGGUAGCUGGUCUGAGAGGAUGAUCAGCCACACUGGGACUGAGACACGGCCCAGACUCCUACGGGUGGCAG